RNAcentral lists this ribosomal RNA (253 nucleotides) under uncultured bacterium. RNAcentral describes it as "partial 16S ribosomal RNA". It matches the Rfam family "Bacterial small subunit ribosomal RNA", at positions 524 to 776 of the family's 1533-position model. The record is from RNAcentral.
UACAGAGGAGCCAAGCGUUGUCCGGAUUGACUGGGCGUAAAGCGCACGCAGGCGGUUGCGCGCGUGGGGUGUGAAAUCUGGCCGCUUAACGGCCAGGCGCCAUCCCAUACGGCGCGACUGGAGUGAUGCAGAGGUCGAUGGAAUUGCCGGUGUAGUGGUGAAAUGCGUAGAGAUCGGCAGGAACACCCAGGGGGAAACCAGUCGCCUGGGCAUGCGCUGACGCUGAGGUGCGAGAGCGUGGGGAGCGAACCGG